CCCAGACUCCUACGGGAGGCAGCAGUGGGGAAUAUUGCACAAUGGGGGGAAACCCUGAUGCAGCGACGCCGCGUGAGUGAAGAAGUAUUUCGGUAUGUAAAGCUCUAUCAGCAGGGAAGAUAAUGACGGUACCUGACUAAGAAGCCCCGGCUAACUACGUGCCAGCAGCCGCGGUAAUACGUAGGGGGCAAGCGUUAUCCGGAUUUACUGGGUGUAAAGGGUGCGCAGGUGGCAGGGCAAGUCAGAUGUGAAAGCCCGGGGCUCAACCCCGGUAUUGCAUUUGAAACUGUCCGGCUAGAGUGCAGGAGAGGUAAGCGGAAUUCCUAGUGUAGCGGUGAAAUGCGUAGAUAUUAGGAGGAACACCAGUGGCGAAGGCGGCUUACUGGACUGUAACUGACACUGAGGCACGAAAGCGUGGGGAGCAAACAGGAUUAGAUACCCCAGUAA
This 447-nucleotide ribosomal RNA is filed under the name uncultured bacterium. RNAcentral's name for it is "bacterial SSU rRNA". It matches the Rfam family "Bacterial small subunit ribosomal RNA", at positions 330 to 793 of the family's 1533-position model. The record is from RNAcentral.